Molecule: ribosomal RNA, 484 nt
Filed under: uncultured bacterium
Lineage: Bacteria
Description: partial 16S ribosomal RNA
Rfam family: Bacterial small subunit ribosomal RNA
Source: RNAcentral
AUUGAACGCUGGCGGCAGGCCUAACACAUGCAAGUCGAGCGGUAGAGAGAAGCUUGCUUCUCUUGAGAGCGGCGGACGGGUGAGUAAUGCCUAGGAAUCUGCCUGGUAGUGGGGGAUAACGUUCGGAAACGGACGCUAAUACCGCAUACGUCCUACGGGAGAAAGCAGGGGACCUUCGGGCCUUGCGCUAUCAGAUGAGCCUAGGUCGGAUUAGCUAGUUGGUGGGGUAAUGGCUCACCAAGGCGACGAUCCGUAACUGGUCUGAGAGGAUGAUCAGUCACACUGGAACUGAGACACGGUCCAGACUCCUACGGGAGGCAGCGGUGGGGAAUAUUGUACAAUGGGCGAAAGCCUGAUCCAGCCAUGCCGCGUGUGUGAAGAAGGUCUUCGGAUUGUAAAGCACUUUAAGUUGGGAGGAAGGGCAGUAAAUUAAUACUUUGCUGUUUUGACGUUACCGACAGAAUAAGCACCGGCUAACUCUGUG